This 32-nucleotide ribosomal RNA is filed under the name Fulvia fulva. Its description in RNAcentral is "Passalora fulva partial 18S ribosomal RNA". The record is from RNAcentral. Lineage: Eukaryota; Fungi; Ascomycota; Dothideomycetes; Mycosphaerellales; Mycosphaerellaceae.
GUAGGUGAACCUGCGGAGGGAUCAUUACUGAG